RNAcentral lists this long non-coding RNA (3915 nucleotides) under Gossypium barbadense (sea-island cotton). RNAcentral describes it as "long non-coding RNA (GBAR_LNC015039)". Lineage: Eukaryota; Viridiplantae; Streptophyta; Magnoliopsida; Malvales; Malvaceae. The record is from RNAcentral.
GGACAUAACCGAGCUCUCGUCGCACUGAUUCGCAUAGGUUUGAAGCCUACCUAAAAUUAUCAAACAAACAAACAGUGAGUUUUUUUUUAUAACUCAGUGUGUAACUCAUAAGAAACAAAAAUUCAAAUUUAAUCACCCAACAGAACAUAUACAGUCAUAUUUCUUAUACAAAAUCAGAAUCAUGUCAAAGUAGUACAAAUACAGAUAAAUAUAAUCCGAUCCCCCAUCCUCUACACACCAGCUCUGAUCAUUCCAGCGUACCAUGUAGGGUAUAAAACACCCACCUAACCCUACACACAACUUAGUGUCCUUACGACACUUUUCAGAAUAAUCGCAGCAAUGUUGCCAGUAUAAUGGCGAGUUAACGCCUCACACAGAACACUUCCUCCACAUAAUACAUAAUCCGCCCCAUAGCCAGAUAUAAAUAGAAUACUAGAAAUAAUAGAAAUAAUAGAUACCGGAAUUUACAUGUCAUGCAUGCUGGUAUAACAGAUAUUGAACAUGCUUAUGCAUAACAGAUCAUACAUAUCACAUUACAUUACAUGCAUUUAGACGUUAUUUAUGUCAAAUUUCAUACUAACAAAUUAGUAGAUUUCAUGCUUUAAAGCUUAUAUAAACACAUACCGUCCCCACAAAAGGCCCAUAGUCAAUUGGGACGACAUGUAUGACAUUAGGAAAAUUUUCUGAAAUUUGGGCCUACACGGCCCAAAAUGGCAUAAAUUGUGUGGCUCACACGGCCUCGCACACGGCCUAUCAUACAGUCAUGUGUCGCAGACGGCCAGGUACACGAUCGUGUGGCAUCAACAGGCCCCAAUUUUAACUUUCGUCAUUCACCAAUUUUCGAGUUUCUCGUUACACACUAGUAUUUCUCGACACUGAUUCCAACACGAGCAACCCAAAAUCUAUAUACGUCAAUAAGAAGCUUAGUUAAUAUGAUUUCUCACACUUAAAAUACGAGUCAACAUUAACAACAACCACAUUUUAAUGAAAAAAUUUGACUCAUGCCUCAAAUUAAAUUCUUACCCUCACGAAGAUAGCAAUCCACGUACGUUUAAUUCACUAGGGAUUAGUCGAAUGUUCCAUGCACCUCUCCUAACAGAAGAAAUAAAUCAUAAUCAUCAUUCAACAUAGUUUGCAUCACUCUCAAACGAAAAUCGAGUAUUAAAACUAAAGCUCUUACCACAGAAAAUUACAAAGAUAACACCCAAAAUACUUACGCUCAAAUCUAGUGACACCACACAGUGCUCAUAUGAAUGAUGGAUAGAAUAAAAAAAAGAAAGGAAAUAAGGGGAAGAAGGAAGGCAGCGUGAAAAAUAGAAAAUAAAGAAACAAUUGUGAACAGGGGUGUCGUUCUAUGGAGACCAAAUUAACAGUUUGAAAAAAAUAAAAUAAAAUAAGAUCCACUUCCUUAUAAUUAAGCCACCUUAAUCCCCAACCCAAAACUAACUUCUAACAACCCACUUCUAUCCACUUACCAUCUUUUCUAGAAUUUUAAACCUCAUCCAACACCAUUAACAAACAUCCCAUUAAAGAGUAACAAAAAUAAAUUCAAUUUCUCACAACAAGACCCGAAGACCAAACCCCAAACACAUACUAACUACUAACCACUGAGAUAGACACUUAAUUGUGUUAGUUUUUAACAAAUAACAAUUCAUAUUCUUUGGGACAUCACACCCCGCGAUCACGCAUUUUUUAUUUCUGGCCUAUUGCAUUUUAUUUGGAGAGGCAAGUAGGGGGCACAGAUAAUGAAUGAGAUUUUGCAAGAAUAUGAAAAUUUCUUUAGAUAGUGCAUUAAUUUUGAAAAGUCAUUUAUUUUAGUACAAAUGUUCAGGAACAAACAAGAAACGAUAUCUCCUAAUCUAUAAGGGUUUGACACAAAAUGAACACUGGAAGGUAUCUUGGAUUACCUAGUAUGGUGGGACGACAAAAGAAAGCAACGUUUUAGGGGUUGAAAGAUAGAUUAUGCAAUCGAGUGAGCAAUUGGUGUAUCUAGCCUCUCUCCUAGGGAGGUAAAAAAGUGUUUAUAAAGAGUAUUUUACAGGUUAAACCAACUUCUUUGAUGUUACGUUUUCUAUUACCCAAUUCUGUUUAUUGCGAAUUAGAAGUAAUUAUUAGUAAAUUCUUCUGGUAGAAGCACAAAGAUAAGCGAGCGAUUCAUUUGUGUAGUUGGACUUUAAAGGUGAAAUACUACUCGUUAUCUACGUUCUUAGAAGGAAUAAUCAUUCUUAUACAUGGAGGAGUAUUUGGGCCACAAAGGGCUUCCUUAAAUUCAGGAUGUGCUAGAUGGUUGGAACGGGGUAGAAUAAUAGAAUAUAUCUGUGAGGGAUGAUGCAUGGAUCCCUGAAUCUGUAGAUUAUAAAGUUCAGAAUCGGGUUACAAAUAGUUCGAUAACUAGAGUGUCAGAUUUGAUUAUUCAAGAAACCAAAUAAUGGAGGGAGGAUUUGAUUACCAAUGUUUUUGCGAUUGAAGAUGUAGAAUGCAUUCUAUGUAUUCUUCUCUCAAAAAACCCACAAGAAGACAAAUUUGUAUGGAAAAGAGAAGCGACGGAGGAAUAUACAAUGUGAAGUGGGUACAAGAAGGCAAUACAAGACACCAAUACAAACAAUGAGCCAUAUCUUUACAGAAAUUAUUACAAGAAAUUAUGGCAUACAGAAGCACUUAGCAAAGUUAAAAUUACAAUUUGGAAGGGGUUUAAUAAUUUUAUCCCGACUCUCAACAACCUAGCCUUCAGGAGACUAGGGAAUGAAACGACAUGCCCCAUAUGUUAGAAUGGUUGCGAAACUCUUGAACAUGUGUUUUGGGAUUGUGUAACUGCAAAGGAAGAAUGGGGUAAGUUAGGAAUUUGGUGGCCGCAAAAUCUUUCAGUAGUCGAAUAUAGGGAAUGAAUGACAUACCUAUUAGAUAAUGGAACAUGUGGGUAGAAGAGCUUAAUAAUCGAGAUUAUUUGGGCAAUCUGGACGUCUAGGAAUCGGGUCCUACAUGAAAGACAUAAUCAACUGGCUCAAUAAAUAGUGGAAAUGGUGAAAAAAUAUACAAAAGAAUGGGGAGAGGUUAAAAAACGCUUAUCUAUUAGAAUUCCUGUACUAGAAGGAUAGGGACCAUCGGUGUCAGAUCUGAUCAGAAUAAAAUUUGAUGGAGCUUUUCAAAGGAGCACAAAUGAGUCGUGUACAAGACUGGUAGUGAGGAGGCCUGAUAGGACGGUGUUAGGCUUGAAAACAAUAAUCAACAAAUGUAUUUCAUCAAUGUUUGCGGUAAAAACGGUUGCAUGUCUCUAGGUGACACAAAUAGAAGUAGAUUUAGGAUUUCAAAGGGUUGAGAUUAAGGGAAAUGCUCUUGUAAUAAUAAUAAAAGACAAAUAUAAAUAGGAGAGAUGAAUCAGUGAUUAGUGCUUACAUCUAAGAUAUUAGAAAAUUGAAUGAAGUUUUCCGUACCUAUCGUUUCUCAUAUACUGAAAGAGGAAGAAAUGGGUUGGCUCACAUGCUAGCAACGGAGGGUAUGAAGAGGAAAAAACAAAUCUGUCUGGUAGGAGAAGUGUCCCCGUUUGCAAGGAGGAAAAUGGAGGAGGGAAUCUUAAUCAGCCGAUGAAGCAUUGGGGCAAAGAUGGGGCAUAAAAGGUACCUUAGGGAAAACAAUAGUGUAUUCUUUGAGAAGCUAAAAUGGAAAUGAUAGAGAUGAAGGCUUCGUUCUUUAUUGCAUCUGAGAUGGGCUUUUACAUGUAAAAGCACUUUUCUCUGAAAAGCAAUAAAGAACGAACUUCAUCUCUUGCAAAUUUCCAGCGUUUUUGAAGUGCUUUUGGGUAGAUGAAAAAGGAGAUUUUUUAAGCUUUUUCAGCCAAGAAGUGCUUUUGGGCUGGUCUUUUACUUUUUUAGCCACACAACACACAAACAACGUUGGUUCUUUGUUUUCAUCCAAAAU